GUCCCUGUCGCCAAGAGGCUUAAGGCUAUGGAUUGCAAACCCAUAAUACGUGAGUUCAAAUCUCACUAGGGACU
This 74-nucleotide transfer RNA is filed under the name Enterococcus faecium. RNAcentral describes it as "tRNA-Cys". It matches the Rfam family "tRNA". Rfam says of the family: Transfer RNA (tRNA) molecules are approximately 80 nucleotides in length. Their secondary structure includes four short double-helical elements and three loops (D, anti-codon, and T loops). Further hydrogen bonds mediate the characteristic L-shaped molecular structure. tRNAs have two regions of fundamental functional importance: the anti-codon, which is responsible for specific mRNA codon recognition, and the 3' end, to which the tRNAs corresponding amino acid is attached (by aminoacyl-tRNA synthetases). tRNAs cope with the degeneracy of the genetic code in two manners: having more than one tRNA (with a specific anti-codon) for a particular amino acid; and 'wobble' base-pairing, i.e. permitting non-standard base-pairing at the 3rd anti-codon position. Lineage: Bacteria; Bacillati; Bacillota; Bacilli; Lactobacillales; Enterococcaceae. The record is from RNAcentral.